Molecule: long non-coding RNA, 1428 nt
Organism: Oncorhynchus kisutch (coho salmon)
Lineage: Eukaryota; Metazoa; Chordata; Actinopteri; Salmoniformes; Salmonidae
Exons: 4
Source: RefSeq, a predicted model, not a curated record
AGUGUCCUGCCUGUCCUUCGUCCCUGAGAAGGGGACAGUUGGUGCCAGUGGAGAUCUGCCCCCCCCCCCCCCCUCUCUCAUUUGACUCUGGGAGAAGGCAAGAUAUGGUCACCCAAGUGUAGAUGAGCCAACGCCACAUACGUAAGCCACAUCACUGUAAGAUGGCGCCGAAGAAGAAGGCAGACUUUCGCAUGCCCCCAGCCAAUUCCCGAUGCGAAGGAUGUACUGCUUCCUUGGGAACAGGCCCAGAUCCCCGUUAUCUGUGUGAAAAGGAGGCAGAGAUAGAGGGGCCGAAGGGCUGGCUGCCUUCUGAGAAUUUAUAGAGUCAUGGCUGAACGACGACAAUAUCAACAUACAGCUGGCUGGUUAUACGAUGUACCGACUGGAUAGAACAGCGGUGUCUGAACAGGGGCAGUGGCACAAGAGGAAUCAAAGAAACACAAGACUUGCUGGCCAUCGCCAGGCAGGCGGACAUCGCUGCUACCACCCUGGAAGUGCUCAAGGGGACCUCUAAGGCCUUCGACAGCGGUGAGCAGGGAGGGUUAGGGUUAAAUCUAGAGUUAUGGUUACAGUUAGCCCUGCUGAGAUGCUAAAUCGGAACAGUGAGUGACUACUACGGUUGAAUAUUUUCCAUGUAUUUUACAAAUGUUCCAUCCCGAGAAUAGAUCACUCUUCUCCUGGGUAACCCAGAAUUUCCUGCCAAACCAGAAAUGUCAUUCCAAAGCAUAUAAAUAGACCUAUGUCUGGAUUUGAUUAGAGCUUUGAUCGGACAUUCAAGCCUGAUGCUACCUGAGCCUGAUGCAUUAAAUACAUUUUAUGAGCCCUACAUUAAAGACAUUUUAUGAGCACAAGCCCAAAACAGCACAAACUGUGACUGUGCUUUUAUCCAAUACAUACUGUGUGUUAUAUACUAGCAUUUUAGGCUACUGCACAUUACCCACGAUAGAAAAACAUAAAAGCCCAUAGAUUUAGCAAGCUCUAUGCUCUCUUGGGUAAAUAAAUGAAACUAGCUCCAGUAGGCUAAUCUUUUUGAGUGUGAACUGUAUUACUGUAAUGUAUUCUAUUAUACUGUAUUAUAUGAAUUGGAACUAUGCACCUUGUACAAACCAUGAUCAAGCUGAGAGAACAUGUGAUUCUGGUGCAGCACAUGCGGCCUACAAAGCUACAAGUUUAAGCUAGCAAAUUACAUUUGAAUUUGAAAUAGGGCCUAUUUGUAUAAUUAAUGUUAUUAGCCUGCCUCCUUUCUCUCUCUAUUGUUGCUCAAUUCCUUCCUCGCUUUCAACAGUUAAAUUAAAUAUGUUUUGUUGUCCUUAUCUUGAUCAUUCUAAUGACAUGCGUAAAUAAAAUAUGACUAGAAUGAGAUGCAGACAGCUUUCACUUCUCUUCACGAAGAUUGAAUGGGUCUGAAUAAAUAACUGCUAUAGCCUA